This 442-nucleotide ribosomal RNA is filed under the name uncultured bacterium. RNAcentral's name for it is "bacterial SSU rRNA". It matches the Rfam family "Bacterial small subunit ribosomal RNA", at positions 29 to 516 of the family's 1533-position model. The record is from RNAcentral.
AACGAACGCUGGCGGCAGGCCUAACACAUGCAAGUCGAGCGAGAACUUCGGUUCUAGCGGCGGACGGGUUAGUAACGCGUGGGAAUAUGCCCUUCACUACGGAAUAGUCCCGGGAAACUGGGUUUAAUACCGUAUACGCCCUUCGGGGGAAAGAUUUAUCGGUGAAGGAUUAGCCCGCGUUGGAUUAGGUAGUUGGUGGGGUAAUGGCCUACCAAGCCGACGAUCCAUAGCUGGUUUGAGAGGAUGAUCAGCAACACUGGGACUGAGACACGGCCCAGACUCCUACGGGAGGCAGCAGUAGGGAAUCUUCCACAAUGGGCGAAAGCCUGAUGGAGCAACGCCGCGUGCAGGAUGAAGGCCUUCGGGUUGUAAACUGCUUUUAUAAGUGAAGAAUAUGACGGUAACUUAUGAAUAAGGAUCGGCUAACUACGUGCCAGCAGCC